UGUGAGCUCGAUGAGUAGGGCGGGACACGUGGUAUCCUGUCUGAAUAUGGGGGGACCAUCCUCCAAGGCUAAAUACUCCUGACUGACCGAUAGUGAACCAGUACCGUGAGGGAAAGGCGAAAAGAACCCCGGCGAGGGGAGUGAAAAAGAACCUGAAACCGUGUACGUACAAGCAGUGGGAGCCUCUUAAUGGGGUGACUGCGUACCUUUUGUAUAAUGGGUCAGCGACUUAUAUUCUGUAGCAAGGUUAACCGAAUAGGGGAGCCGAAGGGAAACCGAGUCUUAACUGGGCGUUAAGUUGCAGGGUAUAGACCCGAAACCCGGUGAUCUAGCCAUGGGCAGGUUGAAGGUUGGGUAACACUAACUGGAGGACCGAACCGACUAAUGUUGAAAAAUUAGCGGAUGACUUGUGGCUGGGGGUGAAAGGCCAAUCAAACCGGGAGAUAGCUGGUUCUCCCCGAAAGCUAUUUAGGUAGCGCCUCGUGAAUUCAUCUCCGGGGGUAGAGCACUGUUUCGGCAAGGGGGUCAUCCCGACUUACCAACCCGAUGCAAACUGCGAAUACCGGAGAAUGUUAUCACGGGAGACACACGGCGGGUGCUAACGUCCGUCGUGAAGAGGGAAACAACCCAGACCGCCAGCUAAGGUCCCAAAGUCAUGGUUAAGUGGGAAACGAUGUGGGAAGGCCCAGACAGCCAGGAUGUUGGCUUAGAAGCAGCCAUCAUUUAAAGAAAGCGUAAUAGCUCACUGGUCGAGUCGGCCUGCGCGGAAGAUGUAACGGGGCUAAACCAUGCACCGAAGCUGCGGCAGCGACACUAUGUGUUGUUGGGUAGGGGAGCGUUCUGUAAGCCUGCGAAGGUGUACUGUGAGGUAUGCUGGAGGUAUCAGAAGUGCGAAUGCUGACAUAAGUAACGAUAAAGCGGGUGAAAAGCCCGCUCGCCGGAAGACCAAGGGUUCCUGUCCAACGUUAAUCGGGGCAGGGUGAGUCGACCCCUAAGGCGAGGCCGAAAGGCGUAGUCGAUGGGAAACAGGUUAAUAUUCCUGUACUUGGUGUUACUGCGAAGGGGGGACGGAGAAGGCUAUGUUGGCCGGGCGACGGUUGUCCCGGUUUAAGCGUGUAGGCUGAUUUUCCAGGCAAAUCCGGAAAAUCAAGGCUGAGGCGUGAUGACGAGGCACUACGGUGCUGAAGCAACAAAUGCCCUGCUUCCAGGAAAAGCCUCUAAGCAUCAGGUAACAUCAAAUCGUACCCCAAACCGACACAGGUGGUCAGGUAGAGAAUACCAAGGCGCUUGAGAGAACUCGGGUGAAGGAACUAGGCAAAAUGGUGCCGUAACUUCGGGAGAAGGCACGCUGAUAUGUAGGUGAAGCGACUUGCUCGUGGAGCUGAAAUCAGUCGAAGAUACCAGCUGGCUGCAACUGUUUAUUAAAAACACAGCACUGUGCAAACACGAAAGUGGACGUAUACGGUGUGACGCCUGCCCGGUGCCGGAAGGUUAAUUGAUGGGGUUAGCGGUAACGCGAAGCUCUUGAUCGAAGCCCCGGUAAACGGCGGCCGUAACUAUAACGGUCCUAAGGUAGCGAAAUUCCUUGUCGGGUAAGUUCCGACCUGCACGAAUGGCGUAAUGAUGGCCAGGCUGUCUCCACCCGAGACUCAGUGAAAUUGAACUCGCUGUGAAGAUGCAGUGUACCCGCGGCAAGACGGAAAGACCCCGUGAACCUUUACUAUAGCUUGACACUGAACAUUGAGCCUUGAUGUGUAGGAUAGGUGGGAGGCUUUGAAGUGUGGACGCCAGUCUGCAUGGAGCCGACCUUGAAAUACCACCCUUUAAUGUUUGAUGUUCUAACGUUGGCCCGUAAUCCGGGUUGCGGACAGUGUCUGGUGGGUAGUUUGACUGGGGCGGUCUCCUCCUAAAGAGUAACGGAGGAGCACGAAGGUUGGCUAAUCCUGGUCGGACAUCAGGAGGUUAGUGCAAUGGCAUAAGCCAGCUUGACUGCGAGCGUGACGGCGCGAGCAGGUGCGAAAGCAGGUCAUAGUGAUCCGGUGGUUCUGAAUGGAAGGGCCAUCGCUCAACGGAUAAAAGGUACUCCGGGGAUAACAGGCUGAUACCGCCCAAGAGUUCAUAUCGACGGCGGUGUUUGGCACCUCGAUGUCGGCUCAUCACAUCCUGGGGCUGAAGUAGGUCCCAAGGGUAUGGCUGUUCGCCAUUUAAAGUGGUACGCGAGCUGGGUUUAGAACGUCGUGAGACAGUUCGGUCCCUAUCUGCCGUGGGCGCUGGAGAACUGAGGGGGGCUGCUCCUAGUACGAGAGGACCGGAGUGGACGCAUCACUGGUGUUCGGGUUGUCAUGCCAAUGGCACUGCCCGGUAGCUAAAUGCGGAAGAGAUAAGUGCUGAAAGCAUCUAAGCACGAAACUUGCCCCGAGAUGAGUUCU
This 2429-nucleotide ribosomal RNA is filed under the name Escherichia coli. RNAcentral describes it as "bacterial LSU rRNA". It matches the Rfam family "Bacterial large subunit ribosomal RNA", at positions 398 to 2812 of the family's 2925-position model. The record is from RNAcentral. Lineage: Bacteria; Pseudomonadati; Pseudomonadota; Gammaproteobacteria; Enterobacterales; Enterobacteriaceae.